RNAcentral lists this ribosomal RNA (629 nucleotides) under uncultured bacterium. RNAcentral's name for it is "bacterial SSU rRNA". It matches the Rfam family "Bacterial small subunit ribosomal RNA", at positions 100 to 714 of the family's 1533-position model. The record is from RNAcentral.
GGACGGGUGAGUAACACGUGGGUAACCUGCCCUCAAGUGGGGGAUAACAUUUGGAAACAGAUGCUAAUACCGCAUAGAUCCAAGAACCGCAUGGUUCUUGGCUGAAAGAUGGCGUAAGCUAUCGCUUUUGGAUGGACCCGCGGCGUAUUAGCUAGUUGGUGAGGUAAUGGCUCACCAAGGCGAUGAUACGUAGCCGAACUGAGAGGUUGAUCGGCCACAUUGGGACUGAGACACGGCCCAAACUCCUACGGGAGGCAGCAGUAGGGAAUCUUCCACAAUGGACGCAAGUCUGAUGGAGCAACGCCGCGUGAGUGAAGAAGGCUUUCGGGUCGUAAAACUCUGUUGUUGGAGAAGAAUGGUCGGCAGAGUAACUGUUGUCGGCGUGACGGUAUCCAACCAGAAAGCCACGGCUAACUACGUGCCAGCAGCCGCGGUAAUACGUAGGUGGCAAGCGUUAUCCGGAUUUAUUGGGCGUAAAGCGAGCGCAGGCGGUUUUUUAAGUCUGAUGUGAAAGCCCUCGGCUUAACCGAGGAAGCGCAUCGGAAACUGGGAAACUUGAGUGCAGAAGAGGACAGUGGAACUCCAUGUGUAGCGGUGAAAUGCGUAGAUAUAAUGGAAGAACACCAGUG